This 494-nucleotide ribosomal RNA is filed under the name Chloridolum lameeri. Its description in RNAcentral is "partial 16S ribosomal RNA". It matches the Rfam family "Bacterial large subunit ribosomal RNA", at positions 1819 to 2583 of the family's 2925-position model. Lineage: Eukaryota; Metazoa; Arthropoda; Insecta; Coleoptera; Cerambycidae. The record is from RNAcentral.
GGCCUUUUGUUUAUAAUUUAAGGUCUAGCCUGCCCACUGAGUAAUUUAAGGGCUGCGGUAUCUUGACCGUGCUAAGGUAGCAUAAUAAUUAGUUUUUUAAUUGAAAGCUGGAAUGAAGGGUUGAACGAGAAAAAAGCUGUCUCGAUUUAAUUUGUUUAGAAUUUUAUCUUUAAGUAAGAAAGCUUAAAUUUUUCAAAAAGACGAGAAGACCCUAUAGAGUUUUAUAAAAAAAUUUUGUUUUUAAAUUUUAAGAAUUUAGUUUUUAAGUAAUUUUUUUUUAUUUGGUUGGGGUGACUGAAAAAUUUAAUUAACUUUUUCUUUAUUUUUACACUAAUUUGUGACUUUUUGAUCCAUUUUUUGAUUAAAAGAUUAAAUUACCUUAGGGAUAACAGCGUAAUUUUUCUAGAGAGUUCUAAUCGACAGAAUAGUUUGCGACCUCGAUGUUGGAUUAAAAUUAAUUUUUGGUGCAGAAGCUAAAAGUUUAGGUCUGUUCG